RNAcentral lists this ribosomal RNA (715 nucleotides) under uncultured Propionibacterium sp. RNAcentral's name for it is "bacterial SSU rRNA". It matches the Rfam family "Bacterial small subunit ribosomal RNA", at positions 65 to 791 of the family's 1533-position model. Lineage: Bacteria; Bacillati; Actinomycetota; Actinomycetes; Propionibacteriales; Propionibacteriaceae. The record is from RNAcentral.
AACGGAAAGGCCCUGCUUUUGUGGGGUGCUCGAGUGGCGAACGGGUGAGUAACACGUGAGUAACCUGCCCUUGACUUUGGGAUAACUUCAGGAAACUGGGGCUAAUACCGGAUAGGAGCUCCUGCUGCAUGGUGGGGGUUGGAAAGUUUCGGCGGUUGGGGAUGGACUCGCGGCUUAUCAGCUUGUUGGUGGGGUAGUGGCUUACCAAGGCUUUGACGGGUAGCCGGCCUGAGAGGGUGACCGGCCACAUUGGGACUGAGAUACGGCCCAGACUCCUACGGGAGGCAGCAGUGGGGAAUAUUGCACAAUGGGCGGAAGCCUGAUGCAGCAACGCCGCGUGCGGGAUGACGGCCUUCGGGUUGUAAACCGCUUUCGCCUGUGACGAAGCGUGAGUGACGGUAAUGGGUAAAGAAGCACCGGCUAACUACGUGCCAGCAGCCGCGGUGAUACGUAGGGUGCGAGCGUUGUUCGGAUUUAUUGGGCGUAAAGGGCUCGUAGGUGGUUGAUCGCGUCGGAAGUGUAAUCUUGGGGCUUAACCCUGAGCGUGCUUUCGAUACGGGUUGACUUGAGGAAGGUAGGGGAGAAUGGAAUUCCUGGUGGAGCGGUGGAAUGCGCAGAUAUCAGGAGGAACACCAGUGGCGAAGGCGGUUCUCUGGGCCUUUCCUGACGCUGAGGAGCGAAAGCGUGGGGAGCGAACAGGCUUAGAUACCCUGGU